Molecule: non-coding RNA, 763 nt
Filed under: Anaplecta sp. 1 ZQW-2020
Lineage: Eukaryota; Metazoa; Arthropoda; Insecta; Blattodea; Anaplectidae
Source: RNAcentral
UUAAAGGUUUAAUUGGGGGGUAAAGUUUGAUUCUUGCUAAAUCAUUGUUUUUAAUUUUAUUUUAUAUGUUAAUUUUUUUUCUAGAUGAUUUUAUUUUGCAAUAAUUGUAAUUGAAUAUUAAGGUGACUUAGAUUUGGUAAUAUUUUUUUUGUGUCGGCUUAUAUUGUGCCAGCAGCCGCGGUUAUACAUUAGGCACUUAUCAAUGGAUUUCUUUUUGCAGUUCUUGUUGUUUUUAUUUUUGAAUUUUAUUUUUAGGUGAAAUUUUAAUUUUUUUUUUUAUUUUAUAUCUUGUGAAGCUUUUUUUUUAGACUGGGAUUAGAUACCCCAUUAUUGAAAGUUUAAAUUUGUUAUUUUGAGUAGUAUUAGUUAUGUUCUUGAAACUUAAAGAAUUUGGCGGUAUUUUAGUCCUUUUAGAGGAAUCUGUCUUAUAAUCGAUAAUCCGCGUUGAACCUUUCUUUGAUUAUUUUUGUAUACCUCCGUUGUAAGAAAAUUUUUUUAGGAAUUUUAAUUUUCUUUGAAUUUUUUUAAAUUUUAUUUCAGGUCAAGGUGCAGGUUUAUAUUAAAGUUUUGAUGGAUUACAUUGUAUUUUAUUUUUAUUUGGAUUUUUUUUGUAACUUUUAAUUAAAUUGGAUUUGAUUGUAAUAUUUUGAAGUUUGUUAAUUUGAAAAGGCUCUAUAAUAUGUACACAUCGCCCGUCACUCUCGCUUUAUUGUGAGAAAAGUCGUAACAUAGUGGUUGUAUCGGAAGGUGUAGCUGGAUUGAU